Molecule: transfer RNA, 72 nt
Filed under: Candidatus Woesearchaeota archaeon
Lineage: Archaea; Nanobdellati; Candidatus Woesearchaeota
Description: tRNA-Thr
Rfam family: tRNA
About the family: Transfer RNA (tRNA) molecules are approximately 80 nucleotides in length. Their secondary structure includes four short double-helical elements and three loops (D, anti-codon, and T loops).
Source: RNAcentral
GCCUCAGUAGCUCAGUGGUAGAGCAAUUGCCUUGUAAGCAAUAGGUCGGGUGUUCAAAUCGCCCCUGAGGCU